This 344-nucleotide long non-coding RNA is filed under the name Cucumis sativus (cucumber). RNAcentral's name for it is "long non-coding RNA (CSAT_LNC001468)". The record is from RNAcentral. Lineage: Eukaryota; Viridiplantae; Streptophyta; Magnoliopsida; Cucurbitales; Cucurbitaceae.
CCAAUCCCACCCUUUGUGGGUGACCUCCCGUUCCUCGAAAACCUCAUGUUCCACAAGCUCCCAAAUCUCAUUGGCCCCAUCCCACCUACCAUUGCAAAACUCAACAACCUCAAAUACCUUGACCUAAGCUGGAACGGUCUCUCUGGUCCUGUCCCCAGCUUCCUCGGCUCCCUUUCCAAUCUCGAUGUUCUCGACCUCUCCUUCAACCGUUUCACUGGCUCCAUCCCUAGCUCUCUUGCCAACCUCCGCCGCCUUGGAACUCUCCAUUUGGAUCGAAACAAAUUGACAGGACCCAUACCCGAAUCAUUUGGAAACUUCAAGGGAAAAGUCCCUUAUCUCUACCU